Molecule: non-coding RNA, 1015 nt
Organism: Pimephales promelas (fathead minnow)
Lineage: Eukaryota; Metazoa; Chordata; Actinopteri; Cypriniformes; Leuciscidae
Source: RefSeq, a predicted model, not a curated record
UUUAGAUCUGAUGCAUGUUGAAAAGGUGUCUUGUCUUUAGGUUCGCUGGUGGGCCCCCCAGAACGUCCUGUAAUGACAAGUGGACACAACCACAUACACCUCCACAAUGUAUUUAACACAUUUUAAAUGUCAAUUCAGCAAUGCAUUAAUUUCUUAAUGUUUUCUCAGUCUACCCAAUAUUCCUUAGACUGCACAACCUAUUACUCUACUGUAGCCUAUUGCAUUUUUUUUUUUUUUUACGACUGUAGACUUACAAUACCCAUAACUGUUUAUAACUCACUUAACAAAAAUAUUUUACCUUGAACAUAACUAUUUCAACUCUCACUAAUAUUACUUAAUAUGAAGGAUACAGAUUAGCUCACUGGUCUAAGUGUGGGCUCACCCAGGGUGUCAUAUGUGUAUAGAUUCCUAGGUCGCCUGGUUCUGGCAGAAGUUCUCUUCAUAAGUUCUAAUGUCACGUCACAAUCUUCAUGCCUCAUAGGUUCUGAUGCCUCAUCACUAUCUUCAUGCUCGGCUUCUCCAAUGAAUCCUUCCUCCAAUUCCUGCUCCCCUUGAAGAUCUCCCAGCACUUCUUCAUCGGAUUUCUCUGAGUCAGGUAGGUUUACGGAUUCGUCACCAAUUUCUUCGAUGUCAAGUUCCUUUUCAGGUUUCCUGUUUCUCUCCUCUCUUCCAGGGUGAAAUUCUGCCGCACAUGGAUCUAAUUCUGUUCCUGUUCUCCGUAUUGGAAUCCACAAGUCAACCUCCUCGUCACUGGAACUGUCAGUGUUUCCAUGAUGCUGAUAAAACCCUCUGCCUGAGAUCCAUGGCUCGAACUAAGAACUGGAUCGGCGUUUCUUUGGGUUCUUGAACUGCACGUGUGAGUAACUUCUCAAACUGACACCUGGGAUGAUGGCUUGAAUGACUGCCUCAACAAUUUCUCCCUCAUCAUAACCCUUUUUGCAGGCCCUGUGAAUCUGUCUGUCCAGGCUGGUGAAGUUUAAUUUGUCCCUCUGGCCCGGCUCACCUAUUUGCCCAA